Molecule: ribosomal RNA, 485 nt
Filed under: uncultured bacterium
Lineage: Bacteria
Description: partial 16S ribosomal RNA
Rfam family: Bacterial small subunit ribosomal RNA
Source: RNAcentral
AGUGAACGCUGGCGGCGUGCUUAACACAUGCAAGUCGAACGAGAACGGAAUAUAGCUUGCUAUAUUUGUCAGCUAAGUGGCGCACGGGUGAGUAAUGUAUAGAUAACCUGCCCUUAAGAAAGGAAUAACAGUUGGAAACGACUGCUAAUGCCCUAUAUGCCUUUAAUACAUAAGUAUGCAAGGGAAACGCUUUAGUGCUUAAGGAUGGGUCUGUAUGGUAUCAGCUUGUUGGUGAGGUAAUGGCUCACUAAGGCUAUGACGCCUAACUGGUUUGAGAGGAUGAUCAGUCACACUGGAAUGGAGACACGGUCCAGACGCCUACGGGAGGCAGCAGUGGGGAAUAUUGCACAAUGGACGAAAGUCUGAUGCAGCAACGCCGCGUGGAGGAUGACACAUUUCGGUGCGUAAACUCCUUUUAUAUAGGAAGAUAAUGACGGUACUAUAUGAAUAAGCACCGGCUAACUCCGUGCCAGCCGCCGCCGUAA